Molecule: long non-coding RNA, 313 nt
Organism: Cucurbita moschata (crookneck pumpkin)
Lineage: Eukaryota; Viridiplantae; Streptophyta; Magnoliopsida; Cucurbitales; Cucurbitaceae
Exons: 2
Source: RefSeq, a predicted model, not a curated record
AUUGACACAUAUCUUCGAUGAAACUUACGAGGUUCAACACUCUAUUGUUGAUAUGAGGCCUCAAGAAAGGGUAGCAGAGGUAUGGAACUGUAAUGGUAUGGAACUGGAACUGGACCUUCAUUAAAUACUCCCUCCCUGCAAAAGUACAAAAGGGUAUGAUUAAUUAUCUUUUAUUUUUUACCUUAAUGAUAUUUAUUAUGGAUCAAGUAGUUCGUCACUAUUAUGGAAUUCUGAAAUGAAAUUAAAUUGUAUAGAGAUUCUUGUCUUAUUUUAGACUCAUAUUUGGAAAAAUCUUGACCAAGCAAUUCGUGAA